GAUGAACGCUGCCCUUGAGACUAAUACAUGCAAGUCGAGCGAACGGACGAGAAGCUUGCUUCUCUGAUGUUAGCGGCGGACGGGUGAGUAACACGUGGAUAACCUACCUAUAAGACUGGGAUAACUUCGGGAAACCGGAGCUAAUACCGGAUAAUAUUUUGAACCGCAUGGUUCAAAAGUGAAAGACGGUCUUGCUGUCACUUAUAGAUGGAUCCGCGCUGCAUUAGCUAGUUGGUAAGGUAACGGCUUACCAAGGCAACGAUGCAUAGCCGACCUGAGAGGGUGAUCGGCCACACUGGAACUGAGACACGGUCCAGACUCCUACGGGAGGCAGCAGUAGGGAAUCUUCCGCAAUGGGCGAAAGCCUGACGGAGCAACGCCGCGUGAGUGAUGAAGGUCUUCGGAUCGUAAAACUCUGUUAUUAGGGAAGAACAUAUGUGUAAGUAACUGUGCACAUCUUGACGGUACCUAAUCAGAAAGCCACGGCUAACUACGUGCCAGCAGCCGCGGUAAUACGUAGGUGGCAAGCGUUAUCCGGAAUUAUUGGGCGUAAAGCGCGCGUAGGCGGUUUUUUAAGUCUGAUGUGAAAGCCCACGGCUCAACCGUGGAGGGUCAUUGGAAACUGGAAAACUUGAGUGCAGAAGAGGAAAGUGGAAUUCCAUGUGUAGCGGUGAAAUGCGCAGAGAUAUGGAGGAACACCAGUGGCGAAGGCGACUUUCUGGUCUGUAACUGACGCUGAUGUGCGAAAGCGUGGGGAUCAAACAGGAUUAGAUACCCUGGUAGUCCACGCCGUAAACGAUGAGUGCUAAGUGUUAGGGGGUUUCCGCCCCUUAGUGCUGCAGCUAACGCAUUAAGCACUCCGCCUGGGGAGUACGACCGCAAGGUUGAAACUCAAAGGAAUUGACGGGGACCCGCACAAGCGGUGGAGCAUGUGGUUUAAUUCGAAGCAACGCGAAGAACCUUACCAAAUCUUGACAUCCUUUGACAACUCUAGAGAUAGAGCCUUCCCCUUCGGGGGACAAAGUGACAGGUGGUGCAUGGUUGUCGUCAGCUCGUGUCGUGAGAUGUUGGGUUAAGUCCCGCAACGAGCGCAACCCUUAAGCUUAGUUGCCAUCAUUAAGUUGGGCACUCUAAGUUGACUGCCGGUGACAAACCGGAGGAAGGUGGGGAUGACGUCAAAUCAUCAUGCCCCUUAUGAUUUGGGCUACACACGUGCUACAAUGGACAAUACAAAGGGCAGCGAAACCGCGAGGUCAAGCAAAUCCCAUAAAGUUGUUCUCAGUUCGGAUUGUAGUCUGCAACUCGACUACAUGAAGCUGGAAUCGCUAGUAAUCGUAGAUCAGCAUGCUACGGUGAAUACGUUCCCCGGGUCU
Molecule: ribosomal RNA, 1373 nt
Filed under: uncultured bacterium
Lineage: Bacteria
Description: bacterial SSU rRNA
Rfam family: Bacterial small subunit ribosomal RNA
Source: RNAcentral